RNAcentral lists this ribosomal RNA (464 nucleotides) under Vreelandella stevensii. RNAcentral describes it as "partial 16S ribosomal RNA". It matches the Rfam family "Bacterial small subunit ribosomal RNA", at positions 338 to 795 of the family's 1533-position model. Lineage: Bacteria; Pseudomonadati; Pseudomonadota; Gammaproteobacteria; Oceanospirillales; Halomonadaceae. The record is from RNAcentral.
CCUACGGGAGGCAGCAGUGGGGAAUAUUGGACAAUGGGGGCAACCCUGAUCCAGCCAUGCCGCGUGUGUGAAGAAGGCCCUCGGGUUGUAAAGCACUUUCAGUGAGGAAGAACGCCUGGUGGUUAAUACCCAUCAGGAAAGACAUCACUCACAGAAGAAGCACCGGCUAACUCCGUGCCAGCAGCCGCGGUAAUACGGAGGGUGCGAGCGUUAAUCGGAAUUACUGGGCGUAAAGCGCGCGUAGGUGGCUUGAUAAGCCGGUUGUGAAAGCCCCGGGCUCAACCUGGGAACGGCAUCCGGAACUGUCAAGCUAGAGUGCAGGAGAGGAAGGUAGAAUUCCCGGUGUAGCGGUGAAAUGCGUAGAGAUCGGGAGGAAUACCAGUGGCGAAGGCGGCCUUCUGGACUGACACUGACACUGAGGUGCGAAAGCGUGGGUAGCAAACAGGAUUAGAUACCCCUGUGUC